UCCCUGGUGGCUCAGAUAGUAAAGCGUCCGCCUGCAAUGCGGGAGACCUGGGUUCAAUCCCUGGGUUGGGAA
Molecule: transfer RNA, 72 nt
Filed under: Bos taurus (domestic cattle)
Lineage: Eukaryota; Metazoa; Chordata; Mammalia; Artiodactyla; Bovidae
Also listed under: 2 other names
Rfam family: tRNA
About the family: Transfer RNA (tRNA) molecules are approximately 80 nucleotides in length. Their secondary structure includes four short double-helical elements and three loops (D, anti-codon, and T loops).
Source: Rfam by way of RNAcentral